CAGGACGAACGCUGGCGGCGUGCCUAAUACAUGCAAGUCGAACGAAACUUUCUUACACCGAAUGCUUGCAUUCACCGUAAGAAGUUGAGUGGCGGACGGGUGAGUAACACGUGGGUAACCUGCCUAAAAGAAGGGGAUAACACUUGGAAACAGGUGCUAAUACCGUAUAUCUCUAAGGAUCGCAUGAUCCUUAGAUGAAAGAUGGUUCUGCUAUCGCUUUUAGAUGGACCCGCGGCGUAUUAACUAGUUGGUGGGGUAACGGCCUACCAAGGUGAUGAUACGUAGCCGAACUGAGAGGUUGAUCGGCCACAUUGGGACUGAGACACGGCCCAAACUCCUACGGGAGGCAGCAGUAGGGAAUCUUCCACAAUGGACGCAAGUCUGAUGGAGCAACGCCGCGUGAGUGAAGAAGGUCUUCGGAUCGUAAAACUCUGUUGUUAGAGAAGAACACGAGUGAGAGUAACUGUUCAUUCGAUGACGGUAUCUAACCAGCAAGUCACGGCUAACUACGUGCCAGCAGCCGCGGUAAUACGUAGGUGGCAAGCGUUGUCCGGAUUUAUUGGGCGUAAAGGGAACGCAGGCGGUCUUUUAAGUCUGAUGUGAAAGCCUUCGGCUUAACCGGAGUAGUGCAUUGGAAACUGGAAGACUUGAGUGCAGAAGAGGAGAGUGGAACUCCAUGUGUAGCGGUGAAAUGCGUAGAUAUAUGGAAGAACACCAGUGGCGAAAGCGGCUCUCUGGUCUGUAACUGACGCUGAGGUUCGAAAGCGUGGGUAGCAAACAGGAUUAGAUACCCUGGUAGUCCACGCCGUAAACGAUGAAUGCUAGGUGUUGGAGGGUUUCCGCCCUUCAGUGCCGCAGCUAACGCAAUAAGCAUUCCGCCUGGGGAGUACGACCGCAAGGUUGAAACUCAAAGGA
This 915-nucleotide ribosomal RNA is filed under the name human gut metagenome. RNAcentral's name for it is "bacterial SSU rRNA". It matches the Rfam family "Bacterial small subunit ribosomal RNA", at positions 25 to 908 of the family's 1533-position model. The record is from RNAcentral.